This 460-nucleotide ribosomal RNA is filed under the name uncultured bacterium. RNAcentral's name for it is "partial 16S ribosomal RNA". It matches the Rfam family "Bacterial small subunit ribosomal RNA", at positions 338 to 795 of the family's 1533-position model. The record is from RNAcentral.
CCUACGGGAGGCAGCAGUGAGGAAUAUUGGUCAAUGGACGAGAGUCUGAACCAGCCAUGUCGCGUGAAGGAUGACUGCCCUAUGGGUUGUAAACUUCUUUUAUAUGGGAAUAAAAUGUUCCACGUGUGGGAUUUUGUAUGUACCAUAUGAAUAAGGAUCGGCUAACUCCGUGCCAGCAGCCGCGGUAAUACGGAGGAUCCGAGCGUUAUCCGGAUUUAUUGGGUUUAAAGGGAGCGUAGGUGGAUUGUUAAGUCAGUUGUGAAAGUUUGCGGCUCAACCGUAAAAUUGCAGUUGAUACUGGCAGUCUUGAGUACAGUAGAGGUGGGCGGAAUGCAUGGUGUAGCGGUGAAAUGCUUAGAGAUCACGAAGAACACCGAUUGCGAAGGCAGCUCACUGGGCUGCAACUGACACUGAGGCUCGAAAGUGUGGGUAUCGAACAGGAUUAGAUACCCCAGUAGUC